GGGCCCAGGCGCGUCGGGCCUCCCGAGGGGGCUACGAGUGUCACUCAGACCUCCGCACGUGUCCACCGCGCGCGGAGCAGCCCUGCAAGCUAUUUGGCAUAUGAAGGUCUCGACCUGAGAAAACCAUCGUGGAUAACCAUAACCACGGCCAGGAGAAGGGAAAAUGCAACACCUAGGAGAUUUCAGUAAACAGUAGAAUCAUGCCAACCUAAUCUGUGUUAAAAUGCUUGGAAUGUGGGAGCCGCUGAUGAUGCCUGUUGUCUGUGUGUCUGACUGAAUCCUUUCUUUUCUCAGAGCAGCAAAGCAAAGCCUGGGAACCAGGCCAAAUGCCUGCCACUUACCUUAAAUUGAUCAGCCACUUUGAGAUUAAAACCCCUGAAAGCUGCCACACCGUGAAAACAAGGCCUCCUUCACAUUAAAGGCAAAUUGCGACUUUG
Non-coding RNA from Marmota flaviventris (yellow-bellied marmot), 437 nucleotides. The record is from RefSeq and is a predicted model, not a curated record. NCBI's taxonomy places the organism in Eukaryota, Metazoa, Chordata, Mammalia, Rodentia, Sciuridae.